CACACACACACACAGCAGACGCUUUUCCAUUCUGUCAGCGGCGAGCAGCACACUGGUCCCUUCCAAACUCAGCGCCACUUCAUUAAAUGACUUCAGACUCCUGGCAAAGGCAGUGGGAAAAGUUGAUAUUAACUGUGUGUGAGAUCUACAGGGCAGCCAACAAAGGCUGCAGUUGUUCCCCCGCCUCCUUUUUUCUCUUACACGGCUCUAGCGGUACCCGAGAACCUCACGGUACAAUAUUGGAGAACACGCACAUCUGUAACCUUGUGUUACACAUUUCUAAAUACAUCAAGGAGGCUGGGCAAGCCGGUCCACUUUGCAGCACGUCUGAUGACAUCACCGAGCAUGAUUGGCUGAUCUGAAGUGGCGGAGAGCAGGUGGGUGUGCGAGCGGCACAGUUGGUUCGCUGAAUCGAGAUGUUUGCAUGAGCUCAUUGCUUUCGGCAAGCUGCAAAAACAGCUGACUAACAACACAGGUACAGUUCGCUGCAACAGGUCCACCGUUGUCCAGACAGAGCAGCUGGCUGACGGCCGGCUAAAAACCAUAAAAACCAGAAUUCUUUCAUUGCGAAAUAAUAAAUGACUGUGCAGUUUAAAAAAAAAAAUAUUUCACCUCUGAAUAUUUCAAGACAUGGUUCAACGGCAAAUAUAACAGCCAGGCGUGGCUGGUAUAGUAAACAAAGCUAAACAUCAGUAUAAUGUUUAUAUAUAAUGCUUAUAAUCAUUAAUAAACUGGAUUACGUUGUUGAACCGCAUUCCCCAGCACCACAGAAAUGAAGCUGGGGCUGAUUUCUCUCAAGCCCAGGCUCAUGUAAAUCCAUGCAGCCUUGAGUGCCAGUGUCAGGUGAUUACACAGAGUGACACACCCACUAGACUUGAUCUAUUAUAUGAUACAACACAUUGCUGAACUCUGAUCUAAUAUCACCGCUGGUGGCAGAGAGAGCUGGAUUACAAAUGCCAAACUGAAAUAACCAUCAGAAAGAGCAGCUGGAGAGAUUUCCCGACUGCACGCAGAAUUCCGCUCGACUUAUACGGCGUUAAAAGCCUCUCGCUCUCAGCCGCGUCAGACCCGAUGUGCGCCAGUGCCAAUAUCAGACUCCAGGCACCAGAAAGGAAGAGCUCCAUUACACUCCUGGAAUCGGCGUUUACAGUGCUGGAGCUUGGGCCCGAUCUUAUAACCGGCCUUCGCAUAAAUCUCUGGAUUGGUCUAAUUACUCAGUUGGGUGCACUUUUGCUCCCCGCUCUGGUUUCAUGGUCAUUUCUGAUGUAGCGAGGCAGCAAAAACAAGCCUGGCUUCAGCAGCCUCCUGCUCCGGCACAAUGGCUGCCUUUUACAGCACCGCCACUGACACUCACGGGUGAACGCAGAGCGCUGCGGCUGCUGGGAUGCAGUGAUGUCAUCGUUCAGGGGUUGUCUGAUGUAGAGCAAAGGCCGAGAGACAGAGAUGGAGAGACUGAGAGAGAGACAGACAGAGAGAGCGAGAGAGAGAGCACUCAUCGUGGUCUUUUACGCAAACAAGCAUACAGUGGAAAAAGCUGGCUUGUAAUAUUAAAAUAUUAAUAUGUCAAUGUCAAGACACCGAAAAAUGUGCAGACACACACACACACACACACACACCCCCUCUCCUAACCAUGCUAGCCUUCUUUGCUUUACCGAUUUACUGAAAGUUUCUUUUAAUUAAGUGCAUUUCAAUAUAAAUCAUCCUAUACUACUACAAUCUGCUAGACAGAACCAACAUUAAGCAACGCUACACUAUGCAUUCGUGUCGCAUAAAUGCACUUGCACUUCAACUUUCCAGACACUACAUAUGAUAUAUAUAUAUAUAUAUAGGAUAUGUAUGCAAGUAUAACACAUCGUAGUAAAGCAUACACAGUGCAUCUCAUUAACACCUCGUAAAACGGUAUUUGAGAAAAAGAGAUGUCUUGGUUAAAUGUUGAAAACUGUUAACGACUUUUAAAAGUAAGACGUGAGGAAGAAAACACGUCAGCGGAACGUCCUGAACUGUUUUAUUCCUCUUAUACCAGAACACUUUGCAAAGUACAUUUUUAAUUCAUUAUUCAUUUAAAAACAAACAAUGACACAUUUGAUCCUUCUCGAGUUACAGUCAAUGUUGUGGAAACAAGUUAGUUCCUGAGAAACACUUCACAAUACUAACUACACUAACACGACUACUACACUAACACUACUAAGUGUUACGUCAUUACUAUCAACUACUGAUGAAUAUUUAACCAAGAUACGGUACAGAAGUCUCUGUAAUUACUGCUUAGUUCAUAAUAAACUACCAAACAUUUACUUCAUUAUUAGUUACACAGUAAUUACCCAGCAUUCCUUAGUGGUGACAUAGUUGUGAAUAUAGAACAAUGCGUUCGAUAUACGUUUUCAGCUUAUUUAAAGUUUUACCGGCGCAUUUAAUGUUGUGAAACGUCCACGAAGCUUCCGGUCAUUUAUGUUAUAGCAGCUGUAAACAGAUGUUCACACUCCAGCUUCUCUUUUUUCCCCUUCUCUUGAAAUUACCAAAACAAAUAAACACUCCUGGUCACGUUACUGAGAAAACCGCAACGUGUAAACUCCUCUGUCCUGAAGACUUGCAGGCUUUAACGCUGACGCUUGAGACUCCGUCCGAAACUGUUAAUCGACCGUCUCCUUUACAGAAAGCUUAACCUUAUCUGCGAUUAUAGCUAACGUUAUUCUUUGCUUGAAAUGUAUUUAUUUUUUUAAAACGGAACGUUUUUAAAAUCAGCCGAUUAUUCGUUAGAACGAGCGGAUUAAUAUAAACCUGUGAUGUGCCUCGUAGCCGGAACUACCCUCGGAGCUGCAUUUAUGGAAAAUCGAUCAACACCUAAGAGGUACAACUAAAGGUAGCACAAAGUAUUGACUAAAAGGAUGCCAAUAACUGUCGCACACCUACAUUUAACGAAUAUAUUUUUUAAUAAGCUUGUGUUGUGUUUGCAAUUGUUUGAUAUCAAUGAGAGCAGAGUAUUUUUGCGAUUUUUUUUUUUUAUAAAAAAGAUCCAUAACUUAAACAGUAAAGGUAAUUUUUUAAAGCCUUCUUUGUUCAUAUUUACCAAGGGUGCCAAUAUUAGUGGAGGGCAACGUAUAGACUUAAUCAAUUUAUUAAGAGCCUUUUUCCCUACAUAAAGCAACAAAAGAAAGUUUCGGACUUGUGUCAUCAUAAAAUUUUCAACAUAGAUGCUUUGCCUAUUACAAAUUUACGCAGAUGAUGAUGUUACGAGUCCUGCUAUGAUAAAAGUCCCCGGUCACCGCAUGUGUGUGUGUGGGUGUGGGUGUGUGGGUGUGGGUGUGUGGGUGUGUGCGCGUGCGUGUUUGGAGGAUGCAGAGCGAAAGGAAAAAAUUUCCAGCAGUUCAAAGGCGGCGCUCUUUAAAGGGGUAACGUGACGAGCAGCUCCUGCACACGGUCUCAAGAUUCAACUCCGUUUGUUUGUUCUAAUUAAAACAGGCUAGCAUGGAAUGCCUGGCCUAAUGAAGCCAUUCAUUUUACCGUGCAAAUCCACGGCUGAGAGGAAAAAGAGCUGACCCCCUCUGAAGUGGAAGGUCAUGAGUUUUAACACUGAUAGUUCACACAUUAUGUAAACACACACACACACACACACACACAUCACCCCCCCCAGCUCGGUGAUUUAAUUCAUAAUCCCAGAUACGCGACUCAUCCACAGCUUUUUAGCACAGCAUGUCAGAGUGUGAAUACUGAUCCAUGAUCCCUCUCCUAUCUUGAUAAAGGAUGUGAAAAGGAAAAAAAAAUGCAUGCAUGACGUGACAUAUUUCUAUUUCGUCUGCAGUUCUGUAUUAAUAUUGUCCUUGAAUUCACCUUUUUUUUAUCUUUAUUUUUUUUUUUUUUUUAACGGUUAUCAUGGGAAUUGUAUUGGUUUUAAUGGAAACUGUAAUGGUCCCUGUGGGUCUCUACAGGCAAAUUGUUGCCUUCUAUUGGUGGAAUGUUAUGUCUAGUGGACCAAUAAUAGUCAUGUAAUGUUUUUAAUGGUUAGCUGAUGGUUUGUAAUGGUAUUUGUAGUGGAAACCAUUAGAAUUUCUGUGAUGGUUUCUACUGUUACAUAGUUCAAGCUCAAAGGUUCUCUAAUUGAAGUCCAAGAAGGCCAGUAUUGGGGGGCGGGGGGGGGGGGGAGAGAGAAUUUAUUUAUUUAUUUAUUUACAUUUUAUUAUAAAUCACAAGUCACUAUUAUAAGUUUUUAGCCAAUUGGACUGGUCACUUGAAGGGGAUGGGUUUAAUCCAAACAACCCUCAACAACCAAAUAAUAAUAAUAAUAAUAAUAAUAAUAAUAAUAAGCCACAAUAUUAUUGUUCAUAUUUUAAAUACUUUAUUUAUUUAUUUAUUUAGACUUUUUUUCUGCACUGAGGAAAUCCGUGGAGUUUAUUUUACAGUUUAAUUGUUUAAAAAAGGAAGUUUGUGAACCCCUGACUAUGGUUAGCAUGUAGCUAACAACAUCCUCUCAGAAGGCAGAACGUAACGCCAAAAAGUUGCGCAAUAACAAUUACGCUGAUCGGAGCGUUGUUUUGAACUAGAUAAAAAGCUGUUAAAUUAUUCGGAAUGUUGACGGUAUUCGCUUGUGUUCGGGGGUUUAAAUAGUGUAUAAACAGGAAAAACUGUCACUUUUGACAGAAAGAGAAAUAUAUUUGCUGAAAGAAAAGAAAACAACAGCACACAAGCGUGCUAAACAGUAUGGCAAAACACAAUGUUACCUAAACCGCCUUAUAUUCACUGUGGUAACUAUAGCAACCUGGUGUACUACUCUGGUGUUAUGCAGUCGCGUGCGCGUUUGCUUUGUUUUAGGUCCUUCAUGUUAAAGAGAGUAAACAGAGCCGGAUGUGUACCAGCUACCCGAGACGAGAAACAGUGCAAGAUCUACCUACUAUCACUGCUGUGUCUGUGUGUGUGUGUGUGUGUGUAUGUGUGUCAGCGUUUAAUUAUUAAUCCAUAUCCUCACCUACCUGAGAGAAGUGAAGUGACACGUCCAUGACUUGUAGUAGACUGUUUUACAAACAGCGUGUAUCGUGUAAACGUGUUGUUUACAAAGUGUGAAAACACUAUUCCGAUUGGCUCAGGACAAAACAAGUCGACGCCCCGAAACCUCAGUUCUCAACAGGCUUGCUG
This is a long non-coding RNA of Ictalurus punctatus (channel catfish), 5124 nucleotides long. NCBI's taxonomy places the organism in Eukaryota, Metazoa, Chordata, Actinopteri, Siluriformes, Ictaluridae. The record is from Ensembl.